AUGGCGGCGUCGACCCACACGCCGUUGGCGAAGCGCACGCUGGGCCCGCCGUCGUCGCCGGGGCUGUCGGAGAGGAGGCGCAGCGCGACGUGGGACGCGAGCGCGGCGUGCGCGGGGCCGAGGAAGGCGACGACCUGGUCGAGCGUGGCGCCCCGGGCGCCCGCGCCGAGCAGCGCCAGCGCGGCGUGGAUGGAGAGAGGGGAGACUGCGAGGUUGGCGCCCGAUGCGGCCGCCGUGCCACCAGCGCAGGCGAGGUGGCGGAGCACGCGCAUGGCGAAGGCGGCCUCCGCGAGCUCCAUGGCGGGCCCUGGCUCUGGUCGGCGGGUGGGGUGGGGGUUUUGGUUGCGACGGCGAGGGGUCUGGUUUUGGGCUCUGUAG
RNAcentral lists this ribosomal RNA (378 nucleotides) under Triticum aestivum (bread wheat). Its description in RNAcentral is "partial small subunit ribosomal RNA". Lineage: Eukaryota; Viridiplantae; Streptophyta; Magnoliopsida; Poales; Poaceae. The record is from RNAcentral.